Molecule: ribosomal RNA, 253 nt
Filed under: uncultured bacterium
Lineage: Bacteria
Description: partial 16S ribosomal RNA
Rfam family: Bacterial small subunit ribosomal RNA
Source: RNAcentral
GACGAACGACACAAGCGUUAUUCGGAAUUACUGGGCGUAAAGGGCGCGUAGGCGGCGUGACAAGUCACUUGUGAAAUCUCCGGGCUUAACUCGGAACGGUCAAGUGAUACUGUCGUGCUAGAGUACAGAAGGGGCAACUGGAAUUCUCGGUGUAGCGGUGAAAUGCGUAGAUAUCGAGAGGAACACCUGCGGCGAAGGCGGGUUGCUGGGCUGAUACUGACGCUGAGGCGCGAAAGCCAGGGGAGCGAACGGG